GUGGGGAAUAUUCCGCAAUGGACGAAAGUCUGACGGAGCAACGCCGCGUGAGUGAUGAAGGUUUUCGGACUGUAAAGCUCUGUUGUUCAGGACGAAAGUGCCUGUUGCGAACAGUUACAGGUAUUGACGGUACUGAACGAGGAAGCCACGGCUAACUACGUGCCAGCAGCCGCGGUAAUACGUAGGUGGCAAGCGUUGUCCGGAAUUAUUGGGCGUAAAGAGCAUGUAGGCGGGAAUCUAAGUCUGUUGUGAAAAUGCGGGGCUCAACCCCGUAUGGCGAUGGAAACUGGAUUUCUUGAGUGCAGGAGAGGAAAGGGGAAUUCCCAGUGUAGCGGUGAAAUGCGUAGAUAUUGGGAGGAACACCAGUGGCGAAGGCGCCUUUCUGGACUGUGUCUGACGCUGAGAUGCGAAAGCCAGGGUAGCGAACGGGAUUAGAUACCCUGGUAGUCC
This 450-nucleotide ribosomal RNA is filed under the name uncultured bacterium. Its description in RNAcentral is "partial 16S ribosomal RNA". It matches the Rfam family "Bacterial small subunit ribosomal RNA", at positions 354 to 796 of the family's 1533-position model. The record is from RNAcentral.